UCCGUAGGUGAACCUGCGGAAGGAUCAUUAGUGAAUUGCAGGGCCUGCCAUACGGAUGCGCAAGCGUCUCUGGCGCCCAACCCACUAUACAUCCACAAACCCGUGUGCACUUGUGUUGCUUUGCCUGUAUGGGCGAGCGCACGCAUUUAUACAAACUCGUAUGGUUGUAUGUACGUUGUAAACGUUGGACCGUCACUGGCCAACAAACUUUUAUACAACUUUCGACAACGGAUCUCUUGGUUCUCCCAUCGAUGAAGAACGCAGCGAAACGCGAUAGGUAAUGUGAAUUGCAGAAUUCCGUGAAUCAUCGAAUCUUUGAACGCACCUUGCGCUCCAUGGUAUUCCGUGGAGCAUGCCUGUUUGAGUGCCGCGAAUUCUCCCACCCCAAACGGUUGCCGAAAGGUACUGUGCGGCGGAGGGGUUGGAUGGGUGCUGCUGCCUGUGGGAAACUACAGGCUCGCCCGAAAUGCAUUAGCGCCUCAGGACAUCUUCGCUACUGCUCUACAAAAGGAAGAGCAGCGAAGCGUAAGGGGGAAAACCACCACCGGUUAUUCCAAACCUCGCCUGACUGUUUGCGCAUGGCAUGAUACGUCAUUUGCUGUGUUGCGUUAGGUUGGUGCGUGGGACUGUGUGAGUGCCUCUAGAGCUUUGAGAAGUUGUUUCGUGUGCUACGAACUGGAAAGUUUUCCAUUCCUUUUUCAUUUCUGGUCUCAAAUCAGGUAGGAUCACCCGCUGAACUUAAGCAUAUCAAUAAGCGGAGGAAAAGA
RNAcentral lists this small RNA (767 nucleotides) under Malassezia pachydermatis. RNAcentral describes it as "eukaryotic LSU rRNA". The stretch from base 217 to 370 matches the Rfam family "5.8S ribosomal RNA". The record is from RNAcentral. Lineage: Eukaryota; Fungi; Basidiomycota; Malasseziomycetes; Malasseziales; Malasseziaceae.